UUUUAUGGAGAGUUUGAUCCUGGCUCAGGAUGAACGCUGGCGGCGUGCCUAAUACAUGCAAGUCGAGCGAACGGACGAGAAGCUUGCUUCUCUGAUGUUAGCGGCGGACGGGUGAGUAACACGUGGAUAACCUACCUAUAAGACUGGGAUAACUUCGGGAAACCGGAGCUAAUACCGGAUAAUAUUUUGAACC
RNAcentral lists this ribosomal RNA (193 nucleotides) under Staphylococcus aureus. RNAcentral describes it as "partial 16S ribosomal RNA". It matches the Rfam family "Bacterial small subunit ribosomal RNA", at positions 1 to 187 of the family's 1533-position model. Lineage: Bacteria; Bacillati; Bacillota; Bacilli; Caryophanales; Staphylococcaceae. The record is from RNAcentral.